RNAcentral lists this ribosomal RNA (497 nucleotides) under uncultured bacterium. RNAcentral's name for it is "partial 16S ribosomal RNA". It matches the Rfam family "Bacterial small subunit ribosomal RNA", at positions 28 to 507 of the family's 1533-position model. The record is from RNAcentral.
GAUGAACGCUGGCGGCGUGCCUAAUACAUGCAAGUCGAGCGAACAGAUAAGGAGCUUGCUCCUUUGACGUUAGCGGCGGACGGGUGAGUAACACGUGGGUAACCUACCUAUAAGACUGGAAUAACUCCGGGAAACCGGGGCUAAUGCCGGAUAACAUUUAGAACCGCAUGGUUCUAAAGUGAAAGAUGGUUUUGCUAUCACUUAUAGAUGGAUCCGCGCCGUAUUAGCUAGUUGGUAAGGUAACGGCUUACCAAGGCAACGAUACGUAGCCGACCUGAGAGGGUGGUCGGCCACAUUGGAACUGGGACGCGGUCCAGACUCCUACGGGAGGCAGCAGUAGGGAAUCUUCCGCAAUGGGCGAAAGCCUGACGGAGCAACGCGGCGUGAGUGAUGAAGGUCUUCGGAUCGUAAAACUCUGUUAUUAGGGAAGAACAAAUGUGUAAGUAACUGUGCACGUCUUGACGGUACCUAAUCAGAAAGCAACGGCUAACUACGUG